RNAcentral lists this long non-coding RNA (1748 nucleotides) under Capsicum annuum. Its description in RNAcentral is "long non-coding RNA (CANN_LNC022481)". Lineage: Eukaryota; Viridiplantae; Streptophyta; Magnoliopsida; Solanales; Solanaceae. The record is from RNAcentral.
GUCCAAUUAUACAGUCCAAAAAUAGAAAACUACGAAAAUAUAAAUCCUAGUCUAAACUAAAUCUAGACUAAGCUCCCAUGCCUUACCCGAUGCCGCGGGCCUUCAUCACGAUCAUUUUCCGCCAACAUGAUAGGUCGGGGUAUUCCCCGGUGAAUAAGUACAAAAGUCCUCGGGGCAUUCCCCGGCUAAAUGAAUACAUUUGCGUCGAAUGGGAUAAAGUAGAAAACAUUCAACACAUACUCCACAUUCGAACAUCCAACGAAACACUUAUUUCUAAAUUUUGCCUACCCGACCCUACGAUCGCCUACCCACAUGACCUAUCAUGAUACUAUCCAAUUCGACAAUAGUCAAUAGUGAAUCAAAACAAACAACCUUCAACUUAUUUGAUUAUCAAAUUUUUCAAUCCCGACCCCCAAAUCAACAAGUUUAAUCCUCAAGUCAUGGUUAACAAAUUUUUCGAUUAUCAAACACUUUUUAAAAAUCUAAAAUCAACUUCAAACAUAUACAUCCAACGAAGAUUCGAACUUAGGCAUACAAGUCAUCCACAACAACAAUUAAUAUUUUUUGCUCAAAAUAUUCACAGCCACACCACAAACUUAUGACAUUAACCAAUUUCAAGAUAAAAGAGUAGAGUCAAGAGAUGGACCUUCGAAGAACAGAUUUGUUGAUAAUAAUAAUGUUUAAGAGAACCCGGACUUGGAAUCCUGAAUAGAGAACCUCAACGACGAACCAAAUCCAAACUCGGUAGCACAAAAAUAGAAACUCCAAACUAACCAUGAUGAACCGAUCGAGACAAAACAGGAAACAAAUCCUUGAACCAGUAUGAAGGCCGAUGAACGAACAUAGAAAAAUCGUAACUCGAAGAAUAAUCAACCAAAACCCCCGUAAGGAAAACCUGAAACGAAACCCAAAUCACUCAUUUCAAACUAAGCUUACGCAGCUUACCGGAAUCGAGGUUGGAUUAUCCUUUUUUCUACCACGUCGGAGCUCCGGCAGACCUGAAAGUCAACAAAAUAGUUUUUUCUGGCUAGAUUUCACUGGAGAAAAACGGAAACAGUUAGCUUCGUCCAUUCUCUUUCUCUCUCUCCUUUACUCUCUCUGUUACUCUCUCUCUUCGUCACUGCUGGUCGGAUUCUCGCCGGAGAAAAACAAAAAUAGUUAGCUCCAUCCGUUCUCUCUCUCUCUCCGUCACUCUCUCUGGUACUCUCUCUCCCCAUUUCUGCUGGUCGGAUUCUCGCCAGAGAAAAACAGAAAACAGUUAGCUCCGUUCGUUCUCUCUCUCUCUCUCUCUGUUACUCUCUCUCCUCGUUUCUGUUGUUUUUCGGUGAGCUGUGAAGGAAGCGAGCUAAUGAAAAGUAUCGAAAUCCAGUGACUGGGUCGCGGGAACAGUGACCCAAAAUCAAAAAUGACUAUCCCUCCAUUUUUUUGUCUGUGUAUCGUGUGUGUAACGUGAAUGGUGAGGGGGAGUGUAAAACGGAAGAAAAAAAGAGGAAGAUGAGUGUGUACUGUCUAUGCUAAUGGCGUGCUCCGUUUUUUUGGAGAAGAAAGGCAAAACAAUUUUUGAGAUGUGCUCCCCCUUUUUGGUUACUGAUGGUGCCUUUUUGUUGUUACUGUUCCUUGCCAAAAAAAUCUUCUUCUUGGAUAUGUGUGUAUCCGUGCAUAUAUUGUGAGGUGGGUGGGGUAGGGUAGGUAAGGUAGGGUAAGUGGGGUAGGGUAUGGGGCAUGGGGUAGUGAUGUGUUGUCCAAAA